RNAcentral lists this ribosomal RNA (250 nucleotides) under uncultured bacterium. RNAcentral describes it as "partial 16S ribosomal RNA". It matches the Rfam family "Bacterial small subunit ribosomal RNA", at positions 524 to 772 of the family's 1533-position model. The record is from RNAcentral.
GACGGAGGGCGCAAGCGUUGUUCGGAAUUACUGGGCGUAAAGGGCGGGCAGGCGGUCCGUUAAGUCUUCUGUGAAAAUCCGGGGCUCAACCCCGUGAAAUGCAGGAGAUACUGGCGGACUAGAGACCGGUAGAGGCUAGCGGAAUUCCUGGUGUAGCGGUGGAAUGCGUAGAUAUCAGGAAGAACACCUGUGGCGAAGGCGGCUAGCUGGGCCGGAUCUGACGCUCAUCCGCGAAAGCGUGGGGAGCAAA